RNAcentral lists this ribosomal RNA (500 nucleotides) under uncultured bacterium. Its description in RNAcentral is "partial 16S ribosomal RNA". It matches the Rfam family "Bacterial small subunit ribosomal RNA", at positions 30 to 523 of the family's 1533-position model. The record is from RNAcentral.
AUUGAACGCUGGCGGCAUGCCUUACACAUGCAAGUCGAACGGCAGCACGGGAGCAAUCCUGGUGGCGAGUGGCGAACGGGUGAGUAAUAUAUCGGAACGUGCCCAGUCGUGGGGGAUAACGCAGCGAAAGCUGUGCUAAUACCGCAUACGAUCUACGGAUGAAAGCGGGGGAUCGCAAGACCUCGCGCGAUUGGAGCGGCCGAUAUCAGAUUAGCUAGUUGGUGGGGUAAAAGCCCACCAAGGCGACGAUCUGUAGCUGAUCUGAGAGGACGGCCAGCCACACUGGAACUGAGACACGGUCCAGACUCCUACGGGAGGCAGCAGUGGGGAAUUUUGGACAAUGGGCGCAAGCCUGAUCCAGCAAUGCCGCGUGCAGGAUGAAGGCCUUCGGGUUGUAAACUGCUUUUGUACGGAACGAAACGGCUCUUUCUAAUAAAGAGGGCUAAUGACGGUACCGUAAGAAUAAGCACCGGCUAACUACGUGCCAGCCGCCGCAGUAA